This 459-nucleotide ribosomal RNA is filed under the name uncultured bacterium. RNAcentral describes it as "partial 16S ribosomal RNA". It matches the Rfam family "Bacterial small subunit ribosomal RNA", at positions 338 to 795 of the family's 1533-position model. The record is from RNAcentral.
CCUACGUGAGGCAGCAGUGAGGAAUAUUGGUCAAUGGGCGGAAGCCUGAACCAGCCAAGCCGCGUGAGGGAAGAAGGUACAGCGUAUCGUAAACCUCUUUUGUCAGGGAACAAAGGCGGGGACUAGUCCCCGGCUGAGGGUACCUGCAGAAAAAGCAUCGGCUAACUCCGUGCCAGCAGCCGCGGUAAUACGGAGGAUGCGAGCGUUAUCCGGAUUUAUUGGGUUUAAAGGGUGCGCGGGGGGCCUGUUAAGUCACCGGUAAAGGCCCGGGGAUAAAGCCCGGCGAGCCGUUGAAACUGGCUGGCUGGAGUUGGAGAGAAGUACGAGGAAUGCGCGGUGUAGCGGUGAAAUGCUUAGAUAUCGCGCAGAACACCGAUUGCGAAGGCAGCGUACCGGCUCCACACUGACGCUGAGGCACGAAAGCGUGGGUAUCGAACAGGAUUAGAUACCCUAGUAGUC